CCUACGGGAGGCAGCAGUGGGGAAUAUUGGACAAUGGGCGAAAGCCUGAUCCAGCAAUGCCGCGUGAGUGAUGAAGGCCUUAGGGUUGUAAAGCUCUUUUACCAGGGAUGAUAAUGACAGUACCUGGAGAAUAAGCUCCGGCUAACUCCGUGCCAGCAGCCGCGGUAAUACGGAGGGAGCUAGCGUUGUUCGGAAUUACUGGGCGUAAAGCGUACGUAGGCGGUUAUUCAAGUCAGAGGUGAAAGCCUGGAGCUCAACUCCAGAACUGCCUUUGAAACUAGAUAGCUAGAAUCUUGGAGAGGUGAGUGGAAUUCCGAGUGUAGAGGUGAAAUUCGUAGAUAUUCGGAAGAACACCAGUGGCGAAGGCGACUCACUGGACAAGUAUUGACGCUGAGGUACGAAAGCGUGGGGAGCAAACAGGAUUAGAUACCCUGGUAGUCCACGCCGUAAACGAUGAUAACUAGCUGUUCGGGCUCUACGAGCUUGAGUGGCGCNGCUACGACAUUAAGUUAAGUUCCGUCCGUCGGGAGGUACGGUCGGCGAAGAAGUUAAAACUUAACUAAAUUAGUUAAGUUAGUUACGGCGUGAGACGUUGCCGACGGACGACCGACGAGGGGAGGAGGAG
Molecule: ribosomal RNA, 625 nt
Filed under: uncultured bacterium
Lineage: Bacteria
Description: bacterial SSU rRNA
Rfam family: Bacterial small subunit ribosomal RNA (bases 1-521)
Source: RNAcentral